UACGUAGGGGGCAAGCGUUGUCCGGAAUUAUUGGGCGUAAAGGGCGCGUAGGCGGUGCGGUAAGUCUGGUGUGAAAUCUCCGGGCUCAACUCGGAGCUUGCAUCAGAAACUGCCGUGCUUGAGUGUGGGAGAGGUGAGUGGAAUUCCCGGUGUAGCGGUGAAAUGCGCAGAUAUCAGGAGGAACACCGAUGGCGAAGGCAGGUCUCUGGGCCAUAACUGACGCUGAGAAGCGAAAGCAUGGGGAGCGAACAGG
Molecule: ribosomal RNA, 253 nt
Filed under: uncultured bacterium
Lineage: Bacteria
Description: partial 16S ribosomal RNA
Rfam family: Bacterial small subunit ribosomal RNA
Source: RNAcentral